This 253-nucleotide ribosomal RNA is filed under the name uncultured prokaryote. RNAcentral's name for it is "partial 16S ribosomal RNA". It matches the Rfam family "Bacterial small subunit ribosomal RNA", at positions 524 to 776 of the family's 1533-position model. The record is from RNAcentral.
UACGGAGGAUGCAAGCGUUAUCCGGAAUGAUUGGGCGUAAAGCGUCCGCAGGUGGCUGUGUAAGUCUGCUGUUAAAGAGUGAGGCUCAACCUCAUAAGAGCAGUGGAAACUACAUAGCUAGAGUACGUUCGGGGCAGAGGGAAUUCCUGGUGUAGCGGUGAAAUGCGUAGAGAUCAGGAAGAACACCGGUGGCGAAAGCGCUCUGCUAGGCCGUAACUGACACUGAGGGACGAAAGCUAGGGGAGCGAAUGGG